RNAcentral lists this transfer RNA (83 nucleotides) under Canis lupus familiaris (dog). It matches the Rfam family "tRNA". Rfam says of the family: Transfer RNA (tRNA) molecules are approximately 80 nucleotides in length. Their secondary structure includes four short double-helical elements and three loops (D, anti-codon, and T loops). RNAcentral also lists the same sequence under 1 other name. The record is from Rfam by way of RNAcentral. Lineage: Eukaryota; Metazoa; Chordata; Mammalia; Carnivora; Canidae.
GCCUGGGUGGCUCAGUGGUUGAGCACCUGCCUUUGGCUCAGGUCAUGAUCCCGGAGUCCUGGGAUCAAGUCCCACAUUAGGCU